Molecule: ribosomal RNA, 427 nt
Filed under: uncultured bacterium
Lineage: Bacteria
Description: partial 16S ribosomal RNA
Rfam family: Bacterial small subunit ribosomal RNA
Source: RNAcentral
UGGGGAAUAUUGCACAAUGGGAGCAAGCCUGAUGCAGCCAUGCCGCGUGUAUGAAGAAGGCCUUCGGGUUGUAAAGUACUUUCAGCGGGGAGGAAGGCGAUAAGGUUAAUAACCUUGUCGAUUGACGUUACCCGCAGAAGAAGCACCGGCUAACUCCGUGCCAGCAGCCGCGGUAAUACGGAGGGUGCAAGCGUUAAUCGGAAUUACUGGGCGUAAAGCGCACGCAGGCGGUCUGUCAAGUCGGAUGUGAAAUCCCCGGGCUCAACCUGGGAACUGCAUUCGAAACUGGCAGGCUAGAGUCUUGUAGAGGGGGGUAGAAUUCCAGGUGUAGCGGUGAAAUGCGUAGAGAUCUGGAGGAAUACCGGUGGCGAAGGCGGCCCCCUGGACAAAGACUGACGCUCAGGUGCGAAAGCGUGGGGAGCAAACA